This 253-nucleotide ribosomal RNA is filed under the name uncultured bacterium. Its description in RNAcentral is "partial 16S ribosomal RNA". It matches the Rfam family "Bacterial small subunit ribosomal RNA", at positions 524 to 776 of the family's 1533-position model. The record is from RNAcentral.
UACGGAGGGUGCAAGCGUUAUCCGGAUUCACUGGGUUUAAAGGGUGCGUAGGAGGGCAGGUAAGUCAGUGGUGAAAUCUUCGAGCUUAACUCGGAAACUGCCGUUGAUACUAUCUGUCUUGAAUACCGUGGAGAUGAGCGGAAUAUGUCAUGUAGCGGUGAAAUGCUUAGAUAUGACAUAGAACACCAAUUGCGAAGGCAGCUCGUUACACGCAUAUUGACUCUGAGGCACUAAAGCGUGGGGAUCAAACAGG